Molecule: long non-coding RNA, 1634 nt
Organism: Sinocyclocheilus rhinocerous
Lineage: Eukaryota; Metazoa; Chordata; Actinopteri; Cypriniformes; Cyprinidae
Exons: 2
Source: RefSeq, a predicted model, not a curated record
UAUGCCGUUGGAUCACUGCGUAGCUAACUGUUGUCGUAGACAGAAAAGAGGCAGAGCCUUGUUUUUUGGAGGUGGCACACUUCUCUAGUCAGCAUUUUGCAGCGUGAGGUGGCGUUGAGAGGCUGCAGGAGUUGUAAGUUUGGAAGACUAACAGCUAGUUAAAAUGGAUACUCUCAAAAGAAGGGACCGAGGAUUUGUGGAAAGAUGUUGUUUUACUAAAUACACACGCCGUGGAGUUCAAUGGUCUUUCAUAUAAGGAAUAUUUUUUUCUUUUAUCCGUGUAAAAGGGAAUAACAGUGUUCUGGUAUACAGCUGUAGCAACACGGGGUCUCCUGGGCGCUAUCGCAGGGAGCACGAUACUAGAGCGUCAACAAUACUCAUACUGUGAGGAGGAAUAUAUGAGGGAUCCAGGAUUGGACUGAACGUUUGAUUUGGUGCAGGAUUUCAUUCUAUCCAAAAUAUUAACUCAGUUGGCGAACUGUGGUGCUUGAUUUUAAAACGAGGAAGACAAGGGAGACCAAACAUGGGCCAACAUUAUAAACCACGCUUAGAAGACCAACAAACCAUAUUAAAUCACUUACCGUAAAGGUUUUAAAUGCGAUUUUCGUUGCCUUUUUAAGUCAGAUGAUAAAACGUUUGUUUUAAGAACAAUUGCCUAAGGAUUGUUGAAAUAUGUAUGUACACUUGAAGCGGUAAUUCCAAUAUAGUAUAUUUUAGAAGUUAACAAAGGAAGGCCGUUCCUGUGACGAGCAGAAAGCGUGAUACCUGAACGCCCUCGGCGGUGUUGAACAGCGACUCGACAAAAGCGUACUUACAUUACUCAUUACUUAAUCUUAAUGAAACACAUUAAAGUACAUUUACUUUUAUAUGACCUUUGGACUAGGUUUAAUAUACGCAUAGGCUGAUAUUUUUAUUGUUAUGGAUCUGGAAAAUGUAAUGUAACUGCAUGUGCCCCCGACUGAAUUAUGCGGCUGCGUGCGCAACUGAAGAGGACGGGCAUCCGUACCAUAGACUGUAUAAGAUCCGUACGCGUGUUAUUCAGAAUGUAAAAUACAUUUAUGUAAAUAUAUUUCUUAAUAUUGUAAAUGUUGUAUAAUUGUAUUCGUCUCUAUCUAUCUAUCUAUAUAUAUAUAUAUGAAUACAUAUUCAUUAUGUACGUGUUUUGCUCAACUUAUAACAGAAUUAGAUAUUUGAUUUUUUUUUUAUACAAGUACCCUGGGUUUGAAACACUUUAUAUUUAUUUGAUGGGUAUUUUUUCUGAGUUCCUACAUUCUAUCUAAAAGUCCAAAUCAGUACAAUAAUAGAAGACAACUUAAGGACAUCAACUGACAUUACAUCUCUCUUUAAUUUUUUCUUUUAGUUUAAAAAUAAAAAAAUAUAUUUAGUAGUUUAACCGCCAUGUCUGCCUGGGACAGAGAUUCUCUUGUUAAAUAAAUGUUUCUCAGUACAUUUUGGUGAAGCUUAUAUUGUAAUAAAGCAGUUAACCAUUAUAUAUCUUUUAAGCUAUUAAAAUGAAAUGAGCAAAUAUAUUUAAGGUAUUACAAGCUUGUCUAUGUACAAGAGUUUCAAUAACCUAAAACAUAAUUUUGAGAUGUUGCAUAUUAUUGUAAACAAUUAAAUCACAUUAUUUUGAA